GACGAACGCUGGCGGCGUGCUUAACACAUGCAAGUCGAACGGAAAGGCCCUGCUUUUGUGGGGUGCUCGAGUGGCGAACGGGUGAGUAACACGUGAGUAACCUGCCCUUGACUUUGGGAUAACUUCAGGAAACUGGGGCUAAUACCGGAUAGGAGCUCCUGCUGCAUGGGGGGGGUUGGAAAGUUUCGGCGGUUGGGGAUGGACGCGCGGCUUAUCAGCUUGUUGGUGGGGUAGUGGCUUACCAAGGCUUUGGCGGGUAGCCGGCCUGAGAGGGUGACCGGCCACAUUGGGACUGAGAUACGGCCCAGACUCCUACGGGAGGCAGCAGUGGGGAAUAUUGCACAAUGGGCGGAAGCCUGAUGCAGCAACGCCGCGUGCGGGAUGACGGCCUUCGGGUUGUAAACCGCUUUCGCCUGUGACGAAGCGUGAGUGACGGUAAUGGGUAAAGAAGCACCGGCUAACUACGUG
RNAcentral lists this ribosomal RNA (468 nucleotides) under uncultured bacterium. RNAcentral's name for it is "partial 16S ribosomal RNA". It matches the Rfam family "Bacterial small subunit ribosomal RNA", at positions 28 to 507 of the family's 1533-position model. The record is from RNAcentral.